This 253-nucleotide ribosomal RNA is filed under the name uncultured bacterium. RNAcentral describes it as "partial 16S ribosomal RNA". It matches the Rfam family "Bacterial small subunit ribosomal RNA", at positions 524 to 776 of the family's 1533-position model. The record is from RNAcentral.
GACAGAGGUGCCGAGCGUUAGGCGGAAUCACUGGGCUUAAAGCGUGUGUAGGCGGAUGUGUAAGUGCCUUGUGAAAUCCCACGGCUCAACCGUGGAACUGCUCGGUAUACUGCUCGUCUUGAGCCAACUAGGGGCGACCGGAACAAACGGUGGAGCGGUGAAAUGCGUAGAUAUCGUUUGGAACGCCGAUGGUGAAAACAGGUCGCUGGGGUUGUGCUGACGCUGAGACACGAAAGCCAGGGGAGCGAACGGG